AGAAGUAUUUCGGUAUGUAAAGCUCUAUCAGCAGGGAAGAAAAUGACGGUACCUGACUAAGAAGCACCGGCUAAAUACGUGCCAGCAGCCGCGGUAAUACGUAUGGUGCAAGCGUUAUCCGGAUUUACUGGGUGUAAAGGGAGCGCAGGCGGUACGGCAAGUCUGAUGUGAAAUCCCGGGGCUCAACCCCGGUACUGCAUUGGAAACUGUCGGACUAGAGUGUCGGAGGGGUAAGUGGAAUUCCUAGUGUAGCGGUGAAAUGCGUAGAUAUUAGGAGGAACACCAGUGGCGAAGGCGGCUUACUGGACGAUUA
This 313-nucleotide ribosomal RNA is filed under the name uncultured bacterium. Its description in RNAcentral is "bacterial SSU rRNA". It matches the Rfam family "Bacterial small subunit ribosomal RNA", at positions 409 to 739 of the family's 1533-position model. The record is from RNAcentral.